CGAAGAACCUUACCAAGGCUUGACAUGGACCGGACCGCCGCAGAAAUGUGGUUUCUCCUUUUGGGGCCGGUUCACAGGUGGUGCAUGGUUGUCGUCAGCUCGUGUCGUGAGAUGUUGGGUUAAGUCCCGCAACGAGCGCAACCCUCGUUCCAUGUUGCCAGCACGUAGUGGUGGGGACUCAUGGGAGACUGCCGGGGUCAACUCGGAGGAAGGUGGGGACGACGUCAAAUCAUCAUGCCCCUUAUGUCUUGGGCUUCACGCAUGCUACAAUGGCCGGUACAAAGGGUUGCGAUACUGUGAGGUGGAGCUAAUCCCAAAAAGCCGGUCUCAGUUCGGAUUGGGGUCUGCGACUCGACCCCAUGAAGUCGGAGUCGCUAGUAAUCGCAGAUCAGCAACGCUGCGGUGAAUACGUUCCCGGGUCUUGUACACACCGA
This 434-nucleotide ribosomal RNA is filed under the name uncultured bacterium. RNAcentral's name for it is "bacterial SSU rRNA". It matches the Rfam family "Bacterial small subunit ribosomal RNA", at positions 962 to 1393 of the family's 1533-position model. The record is from RNAcentral.